ACCGGCGCACGGGUGCGUAACGCGUAUGCAAUCUACCUUUUACAGAGGGAUAGCCCAGAGAAAUUUGGAUUAAUACCUCAUAGUAUAUAGCCCUGGCAUCAGGAUUAUAUNNNAGUCACAACGGUAAAAGAUGAGCAUGCGUCCCAUUAGCUAGUUGGUAAGGUAACGGCUUACCAAGGCUACGAUGGGUAGGGGUCCUGAGAGGGAGAUCCCCCACACUGGUACUGAGACACGGACCAGACUCCUACGGGAGGCAGCAGUGAGGAAUAUUGGACAAUGGGCGCAAGCCUGAUCCAGCCAUGCCGCGUGCAGGAUGACGGUCCUAUGGAUUGUAAACUGCUUUUAUACGAGAAGAAACACUCCUUCGUGAAGGAGCUUGACGGUAUCGUAAGAAUAAGGAUCGGCUAACUCCGUGCCAGCAGCCGCGGUAAUACGGAGGAUCCAAGCGUUAUCCGGAAUCAUUGGGUUUAAAGGGUCCGUAGGCGGUUUAAUAAGUCAGUGGUGAAAGCCCAUCGCUCAACGGUGGAACGGCCAUUGAUACUGUUAGACUUGAAUUAUUAGGAAGUAACUAGAAUAUGUAGUGUAGCGGUGAAAUGCUUAGAGAUUACAUGGAAUACCAAUUGCGAAGGCAGGUUACUACUAAUUGAUUGACGCUGAUGG
Molecule: ribosomal RNA, 660 nt
Filed under: uncultured bacterium
Lineage: Bacteria
Description: bacterial SSU rRNA
Rfam family: Bacterial small subunit ribosomal RNA
Source: RNAcentral